GAAAUGCGAUACCUGGUGUGUUGCAGAAUCCCACGAACCAUCGAGUCUUUGAACGCAAGUUGCGCCCGAGGCCACUUGGCCGAGGGCACGCCUGCCUGGGCGUCACGCCAAACACGCUCCCACCCCUCAUCGGGUGGUGGGAUGCGGCAUGUGGCUCCCCGUCUUGCAAGGGGCGGUGGGCCGAAGAUGCGGCUGCCGGCGUAUCGUGCCGGACACAGCGCGUGGUGGGCGAACUCGCUUUACUUACCGCAGUGCAUGACGCUCCGACCGCGACCCCAGGUCAGGCGGGACUACCCGCUGAAUUUAA
RNAcentral lists this unclassified non-coding RNA (307 nucleotides) under uncultured fungus. RNAcentral's name for it is "sequence contains ITS1". The stretch from base 1 to 105 matches the Rfam family "5.8S ribosomal RNA", at positions 50 to 154 of the family's 154-position model. The record is from RNAcentral. Lineage: Eukaryota; Fungi.